This 1123-nucleotide ribosomal RNA is filed under the name Triticum aestivum (bread wheat). RNAcentral's name for it is "partial small subunit ribosomal RNA". Lineage: Eukaryota; Viridiplantae; Streptophyta; Magnoliopsida; Poales; Poaceae. The record is from RNAcentral.
AAAAAAACCUUCCCCUGAUCCAUCCCCUUCCACCCCGACUCCCUCCCCUCCAUCGCGCGGCCGGCCUCCCCUCCAUCCCGCCGCCGCCCUCCCUCCCUCCACCCUGUUGCUGCCCUCCCCUAUCCAAGCACGGCACCCACCACCACCCGGCGACACCGCCGCCGCCUCGCCCCUGUCCACCACCAACGCGGACGCCCCGCCCCCAGCCGCCGACACGCCGCAGGCCCGACCCCAACCGGUGACGCGCCGCACCUCCGCCCCCAAAGGAUCCGGCUGAGGCAUAGCCGCCGCCGCGGGCCUCCUCCCGCAGACCCCGCCGCCGCCGCGGGCCUCCUCCCGCAGACCCCACCGCCGCCGCGGGGCUCAUCCCGCAGACCUGCCGCUGCCGCGAGCUCCCAACCGCGUCGGCGACCUCCUCCCGCAUCCCCGUUGCCGGCCACGCCAACGCGCGUCCCUGCUGGAUCCACCUGAUUCAGCGCACCGUCAUCAACCCCGCCAGCCGCCGCCCCUCCAUCCUUCUUCCCCGGAGCCGGCGGCCGCCUUCUUCCACAGAGCCAGCGGUGGCUCCGCCUUCCUCCACUGGAUGUUCCCCGCGGUCAUCAACUGCACCGUUGGUGUGCUCACUGGCUAUGAGAAAUAAAGGAACAGCGGUGAGAAAUUUUGUGUUGUAUGAGCUGACGAUGUUUGUUACAGUGCAGGGAAAUCAAAACACUUCGGCUCCUUCCGCAUGAGCAGUCCAUCACCUUGGUCAUGAGCAGUCCAUCGCCUCGCAAGCUAGCAAUUUGUUGCCGAUGCUGCUCCUCUUGAUCACGUAGACCGAGCUGCUGCUUUGUCGAUUGGCCGUCCUGCACCCUGUCGCCGGCUCCCUCGAGCUCUGCCGCCCUUCUGGUCCAUCCUCUGCCCAUGAACCGCUGGACCCCGAGCUCGACUAGCCUUAGUCGUGUGUGCGAGUAUGCACUGGUGCGCUCUGUUUUUAGUGUGUUCGUGUGUGCGAGCACUGUUUUGGCUGCGUACGUGUGUGGUGUUGUGUUGGAAAGUUCAGCUAUUGUAUCUCGGAAAGAUCUAAUUUAUUUUCAGUAAGGAUACUGCCUCAAUGCCUUCUUAAAUCAAACAUUUAGCUUGC